UACGUAGGCGGUUUCAUAAGUCAGAUGUAAAAGCGUGGGGCUCAACCCCAUAAAGCAUUUGAAACUGUGAAACUUGAGUAGUGGAGAGGAAAGUGGAAUUCCUAGUGUAGCGGUGAAAUGCGUAGAUAUUAGGAAGAACACCAGUGGCGAAGGCGGCUUACUGGACGGUAACUGACGUUGAGGCUCGAAAGCGUGGGGAGCAAACA
Molecule: ribosomal RNA, 206 nt
Filed under: uncultured bacterium
Lineage: Bacteria
Description: partial 16S ribosomal RNA
Rfam family: Bacterial small subunit ribosomal RNA
Source: RNAcentral